Molecule: ribosomal RNA, 119 nt
Organism: Lupinus angustifolius (narrow-leaved blue lupine)
Lineage: Eukaryota; Viridiplantae; Streptophyta; Magnoliopsida; Fabales; Fabaceae
Source: Rfam
GAGUGUGACCAUACCACCACCAAUGCAUCGGAUCCCAUCAGAACUCCACAGUUAAGCUUGCUUGGGCGAGAGUAGUACUAGGAUGGGUGACCUCCUUGGAAGUCCUCAUGUUGCACCGU